AAUAAUAAAGCAACAUCAUGAGUCGAUACAUUUCCCAAGGAAUUGAAUAUUCUCAUUGUUAAACAAAAGAAAUUGCUAAAACUAAAACUGAUACGUCACAACUUUUAUGAUCCCAAAAAUGCUAUUUAAACAAAACAAAAAGUCCAAAACCAUCCACCAAUAUAAAGAAAAUUAAUUAAUGAUGCUAUAUUAAUGAAACAAAAAUAAAUUUCUUGUCAUAAGUAAUGGGCCAGAGGAUUAGAAGAAAAGUCACAUGUGUGCUUGUUGCACCAGAAGUACUCGCAAAUUAAAUAAAAAGCAAAAAAAAAAAAAAGUGGUCACAGAGAAUUAAAUGCCUAUCUAGAUUAAUAAUGAAGUGUUUACUGGCUGUAUUAUUGCUUCCAUAAUUGGGGGAAGUUUGAUUAUGUGUAGCUGCUAA
This 418-nucleotide long non-coding RNA is filed under the name Salvia miltiorrhiza (redroot sage). RNAcentral's name for it is "long non-coding RNA (SMIL_LNC011861)". The record is from RNAcentral. Lineage: Eukaryota; Viridiplantae; Streptophyta; Magnoliopsida; Lamiales; Lamiaceae.